UAAGGAAAAUUGGACAAUGGUCGCAAGACUGAUCCAGCCAUGCCGCGUGCAGGAUGACAGCCCUACGGGUUGUAAACUGCUUUUAUACGGGAAAAAUUCCCCCGACGUGUCGGGGGUCGAUUGUACCGUACGAAUAAGCACCGGCUAACUCCGUGCCAGCAGCCGCGGUAAUAAUCA
RNAcentral lists this ribosomal RNA (177 nucleotides) under uncultured bacterium. RNAcentral describes it as "partial 16S ribosomal RNA". It matches the Rfam family "Bacterial small subunit ribosomal RNA", at positions 355 to 527 of the family's 1533-position model. The record is from RNAcentral.